Gasterosteus aculeatus aculeatus (three-spined stickleback) is the source of this 8496-nucleotide long non-coding RNA. The record is from Ensembl. NCBI's taxonomy places the organism in Eukaryota, Metazoa, Chordata, Actinopteri, Perciformes, Gasterosteidae.
GUGUAUGGGGGAAAAAGAAAGCUCCCACAUGAUUUAAAUGCGAGCUGGGACACAUGUUUUAGUUCUUGAGCGAAGUGAGACCCGAGCGUGUGUAACUGACAUCAGUGUGUGUGUGUGUGUGUUGGGUAUUAGAAAGGCCGGCUUAUUGUUGAUUGGACUCUCUGUGAGGUUUCCGAGGCAGGAGGACAUCUAUUAGGAGGUUAGCAAAACACUAUCAGCUAAUACGAGCUGUAAUUACAGCAGCAGUGAGGAAACGCAGCGCGCUAACACCAGCAUGGAAACAUUCUGACAUGCAAACACUGCAAUUAAGCCCCCGCGUGUGUGCAUGUACAUGUGUAAGCCUGUAUACGGGUGAGUGAGUGCACGCAUGUGGGUGUGUGGACGGUGGCCUCUUCGACAAGAUUGCGGGUGUGCGACCUGUCAAAUUGGACCCGGUGGGGUGGGGGGGGGGGGGCUGGAGGCAGCACAUCUGGAGGGAAUUUAUUGUAUAAUUCAGUCUAUUAUUGCUGCGGUCUGUGCUUAAGGAGCACGCACACAAUUACCGUCCACUCUGCAAGGCUACAAGCGGCCCCCGGCCUAAACUAAUAAACUGUGGAGGAGGGUGGCGAGAGGAGAAUUCAUUUGGGGUUAUCAUCAUCACACUCCUCUCUGCUACCUCUCACACUGACACUUACCAGAGUUUAUAAUAAAUCAAUGAGGAACACCUAGCGAUCAGGCUCGGAUUAUGCUCAAAUUAGAUGUGAAUCUGGCUUCAAGGUUUGAGGUGACGCACGUCGCUGGAGCAGCACACGCACGGCGAGGCCUGUGGAACACGGAACAUUAACUAAAACAAAAGGAUACAGAAUGAACUAAUGCAUCGUAUUUCAUAAACUCAUCACAGGAUUUGAAUGUAAAAUCUUUACCUGAAAAGCAUCUAGCUAAUAAAGAAAGUCGAUAUUCAGAACAUGUAGCGUGAAACAGAAAUGGUGAAAAAGUGUCAGCACCUCAACAUUUUAUUUAAACUCAAUACUUGAAUAACUGAUACUAAUAACUUGAAAAUCUGUAAAAUACAAGUGUGUUUUCUAUUAAUUAAUCUGUCAUUCUUUAUUUAGAGAUGUUUGAUUUCCGUUGCCUGACAAAUAACAAGCUUUUAUGUAAUAGAUAUCAAAUAGUAAAAAAAUAGUGUCGUUUCGAUAAUGCAGAAUAUUUUUGUUGCUCACUUACAUAGUUUGAGCUCUAAUCACUAAUCAAGCUUUGCUCACCGUUAUGAUCAAAAUGCCUUUUGCAGCUCUCCUGUUUGAAUGGAAGGGCCAUUGAGUAGGUGCACCAGCGAGGAAACUAUUGCUUUACGAGGUGAUGUCUUUUCAUAUACAUUUAGUUUGGCGUCAUAAAAUUGGGUCCAAAAUAAAAAAAACACCUUGUCUUUUCCAUUUCAGCCGCCUCUCGGAAUAGACCUGUGAGGCGUCUCGGGUGAAGACUUUAGCAGGGAAAGUUGUGCUCAGGCAGGGCAGUAUCUGGCUCAGCAGCCCCGAAUGACCCGCACUGUGUGUGUGUCUGUGUGUGUGUGUGUGUGUGUGUGAUUUAGGAGCUCCUAACAGCGCUGGUGAGGAGCUCGUAACCUUACACAAUAAAGCGCUUCCCCUCUGAGUUUCGCGGCCGUGACCUCCGCCGAAAGUUGAAGGUUCAACUAACUACACGUGUCGGGGCGGUGACCUUUCACCCCCAGUGCCUCGGCCUGUUGCUCUGUUUUUCUUCCUUUUCUCCUUUCUUGCCCCCCCCGCACUCAUAACACUUAACGAUGCUCCGUCUCGCUGUCUCCAAAAGUUAUCGUUACGGAUUCAUCAACUUUCCGUCCGGAAUGUUUUUUUAUUUUCAGUGCAAUCCAAAGAUCCUGCUUUGGUCAGGCAGACCUCCAAAGCCGACGGGGUUGCUGCUCGUGCUGCAUCGGGUACGGCCAAAAAUCCAUAUCACCGAAGGAUUCUGACGGUAUCUCGGUAUCUGGUACCCAAACAGCUGUUCGCCGCUCGCUGGCCAACUUGUUGUUAACGUAUUAGCUAGUUAGCGUGUUAGCUUGUUGUGACUGUGUUGCCACCAGAGGCUCAACAGACUUUCAAUAAGUCGUUUUCGGAUCUAACCUACAUCGGUUUUUCCAAAACCAAAACAGCUCCUUGUAAAUGUCUGUUCUGCACGUUAUGAGUUCUCAUUUUGUCAGAACACUUAUUGGUGAAGGCCUUUACCGAAGGGGGCCUGAUACACAACAUUAUAACGCAGAAUCUUUAUUUUAUUGGUCAUGGGCUUUUAUUGUGAAAGGUAUGAACAGACGUGGAUUGAUGCCUUUUUAUGUCCUGUGAAAGAAAAAGAGGAAAACCCAAUAAUGGAAAAAGAAAAGAAAAAUAUUUUUGUACAAAAACUUUAUUGACGUCCAAUUGAAUCGCACAGGAAAGAAUUGUGCCUGAAGGCCAUUUGGAUGACAAGUUUAGUACCGCUCCCAAGUCUGUACCUGAAAUACAAAGCUAGCGCUAAUAGCUGGCUAGCUUAGCAUUACGUCUGGAAACAACAUGAAACAGCUUGAUAUCUUUUAACGAUACUUUGUGUAUUGUGAUACGCACUUUGUGUACUGUGAUAUGCACUUUGUGUAUUGUGAUACGCACUUUGUGUACUGUGAUAUGCACUUUGUGUACUGUGAUACGCACUUUGUGUACUGCGAUACGCACUUGGCCGCGCGUCAGAACGGCCGCUACUUAGCGAGUUACUUAGCCGGCUAGCUAGCCUUUUACUUGUGAGGAUUUCUUUGUUUUACAACACGACCGCAGUGAGAGUCUGGCCGUGAGGUGUUGAGUCUGCCGGCUGCAGCGCCGUCCCCAUCCUGUGGAUUCACCGCCGUAUUUACCAAUAUUGAAAUAGCUCCGGACGAAGUGAGAGUUGGACGAGGAAUGUGCUUGCGGCAGAUCUCCACCCUGAUAAUAUACGGUGUUUGCUUUCUACCCAAGUGGUUUUGCCCACUUGUUUUUCUCUCUGUGUUUUUCUCUCGUUGCAGUGCGCAGUCACUCUUGCAGUGACUGUGUGUGUGUGUGUGUGUGCGCGUGCGCGAGGCUUAUUUUUAUUCCGGUUGCUGUCUGUUUGUUUGUCAUACUUUCUUUACAAGCCUUGGGGAGUUACCCAAAGAACACAAUAAUGUCCGGUGGUUACACUUCCUGUGACUAUGACCUCUGGUCCGCGCUCGUCCAUUUAUCCGACCUAAUCACGUUGUUCCCUGUGGCCUGUGGUGAAAAGGAGUGAGUGCUUCUGCAUUCAGCUACGACGGGCUUUGGUUGGCUUCUUCUACAAUGAAUCUGACGUUGAGGAUACGGUUUAUUCUGAUGAAAACUGCGUUGUUCUUUAAUUGCUGAAAUAAUAUCAAUUUUCAACGGCUGUCGUGACUUGAAAAGACACACUGCUCGAAACGUCCGUCCGACGUGCUCGGUGAUUUGGUCAGAGACCACGCGAUGAAGGCUGAUGGACCACUGAGCGAGUGGCAAAACAACAGGAAAUAUAUAUGCGAGGAAAUGUGCAAUGAAGGGGAUGAGGUCACAAUCACAAAGCAACCCCGAAAAUCAAGGGAGUUUCUGAGACCUUCUGUAUUUCUGCGUAUUAAAUUGCCUCUUAUUUUCUUCCAAAGCGCGCCGUGGUGUACGUUCAAUUAAGCUGAGAGUAGAGAGACCACAUGAGACGAAGACGCAAACAGAAGCCAAUUAGAGAACAACGGGAAAAACAACGAGGAGAAAAUUAAUGUCACGAAACGGCUGCGGUCACAGCUCCUUAACGGGCUUCCAUGAGAGGCCGAGGAGAAGAAACCCUUUGCUAGACGAGGAGCGAGGGGGACGAGGAGCCGCCGCCGCCACGCAUUCCUCUUUUUGUUGGCUCGCUGUUUUUAUUUUCAUCUGUUUGUCACUUAAAAGGAGCAGCGGGUCUUUGUUCUCUGGAUGGCCUGGAAAACAGAACUCGAUUGUAAAUAGUUCUGUUUUCUUUGAUUGGGUAAACCGGAAGGCUGAUAGAGAGGCUCACUCAACGCCACCGACCAGAAUAUACAUUCAUUGUCCCCAGAGGAUGAGCCCUAAUGACCUCAGUGAUCUCUGACUCAUUUCAUAACUCCAUGUUUUGUUUUUGAAUGGCGCGUAUUUGCAAGCAUUGAACAGGGGACCAUUCAAGGUCUCCAGAGGAAGAAUCCCGAUUGGCGACGCCCUGACCUCUCCAGCGCCGACUUGAUGUUGAUAUCAACAUCCGACUAUCGGAUGGAUUGGAAUUUGGUACACGUAUUCAUCUUCUGAUCAAAAUGAGACUUUGGCCUCCUAGUGCCUCCGUGCGUCCCGCCUCGUCUCCUUGUCGAGACGCGAGGGGCAGACGGUCAGCAGAAAGAUGGCCACGGAGAACAAACCCGGGGUCCGAAGACCGAUCUGUGUGCCACGGAGAACAAACCCGGGGUCCAAAGGCCGAUCUGUGUGCCACGGAGAACAAACCCGGGGUCCGAAGGCUGAUCUGUGUGCCACGGAGAACAAACCCGGGGUCCAAAGGCUGAUCUGUGUGCCACGGAGAACAAACCCGGGGUCCAAAGGCUGAUCUGUGUGCCACGGAGAACAAACCCGGGGUCCAAAGGCCGUCCUGAGUGCCACGGAGAACAAACCCGGGGUCCAAAGGCCGCCCUGUGUGCGGCAGAAAAACAUUUCAAAUUCACCCAGAAUCCCACUGUCAGAACCCAUGAACAGCAGCCCCAAUUACCGACAAUUACGGAGUAAACUUCCAUCUACUGUUACCAAAUGAUUUCUGUGUGUGUUUAGAGGGGCCUUAUAAAUGUACUUAUAAAUGUAGAGCUGUUUGUUUAUUCUUUUAUUGGGUCCACAAUCUUCUAAUCCCGGAGCACUUCAAAGUAUUUACAGGAACGAGCCAUAACCGGAUCAGCCUGCGAACGAGGAGAACAAAGCCCGGCUGCAGCCGACGUAAAUAUGGAAAUAACGUGGCUCGGUGGGAACGCGGUGUAACGGAGCAGAGAUCGUUGAACAAGGGGGAGAGAGAUUAGCAGGAAGAGAGAGAAAGAGACAAAGAGACGCUGAUUUUGUACAUUUAAGCUUGAAGUCAAUUACUCAUGUUCAGGAGGUUUUUUUUCUCUUAUUCCCCUGAAGAAAUUUGUCUCGCAGUUUGCAGAUUUUUCCUUGACCAAAGUGCAGUGUUGUGGGAAGGGGAGGACCGGCAGGAGCGCUCCGUUGAGUGAGUUAUGGCUUUUCAUAUAAAAACCACCAAGAAUAACAGAUAACAAAAGCAUGUGGCAGGAACUUGGCUGAUUUAUUCGUAUGCAGGUAGUCAGAGACUCUUUAACUAACCAUGGCGCUGGCAAACAGCGCUCCAUCGCUCCAUCACUCCAUCGCUCCAUCUCAAGGAAAACAGUAGCCGUCUGCUGACCAAACCCUGCACGUGACCCAUGUCGAGCUUUAUGACCUCUGAAAAGUGCAAAGGAAAGUUUAAACCAACUGCAUUGUGAGGAGAUGCUGACAUAAAUAACCCUGUGCUUUCUUUUUUUUUCUUUUUUGGGGGCUAUUUGUGUGUCCCAAUGCAUUUACUGCAGGGAGAGACUGCACACUUUUACUUAUAAAAGGUGACUCCACACUUUAUGGGAACAUUAAUUUGGCGUAAACCAGAGAGGCCCGGAUUUCUGUUUGACUCAAACAGCGUCCUGAGGGAAAGUCCUGUGACCGUCAGACACCCUCCUCUCCCCCAGGCCUUUGGACAUCAUUUGACGUCAUCAUGUUCUGUGUACGUGUAUCCUGCUGCCUAGCAACCAAGUGACGUUUGAUGAAAAGUCGUCGUACAUAAAUGCUGGUAGAAAUGGAUAAACAUCGGCUUGCUUUAUUCUGGGCAACAAAGGUAUCAACUAAACAACAUAUAUAAUCCCUCCAUUGAUCACUUGCCAAUAGUUAGUAAAACACUAAAUCUUAACUUCACCUGUCAGGCCAUUUCCAUUGAUAUCCAUUCAUGUCAAUUCUAUUUGUGUUGUUCUGCCUUUGGCUUGUUUAUUCACAGCACAAUACAGCUAUUAACUCUCCAAGCUGGUCAAAGCUUUUAUAGAUCUGCUUGUUUUAAACGAAGAUUCCUAACCUCCUCCAUAAGCUUGUCAUAAAAAUGAUAUUCUUUCACUUCCUUAAUUACUCUCGUUUAUAUGUGUGCGUCUCUGUGUGUUCUCUAUGUGUGUGCGUGUGGGCGCGGGGUGAGACUUAAUAUGCAGAGCAGAUGUAGCAGCCGAGCCCAAAGGCUUUGGACGCUGUAGGAAACGUCGUCUCCGGCAGAAGGCAAAGCGCGUCUGCGGGGUCACCGGGUCGGACUCAUAACCCGGGUCUUCAAAACGCUAGAAACAUGCAGAGGAGUGAAUGCUCGACCCCUCCAGAGGAGCCUUUCUGUGUAACAGAAUAAUGCACGCGUUGCCAUAAGUCUGGGAGUGCGCUUUUACGACUUCCCCAUUUAAUUUCGGUUCCCAACAUAAAGGCAUUUGUAAUACAAUAAAUGCCAGCGACUUCUAGGGGGAAAAUCUAUAAUUCACUCCAGUCGGGUAAUUUAUUCCAUUUGUUUAGUCACAAAGGGCUUCGGUCCGUAUCGGGAAACUACAGAGACAACUGUCUUGUGAAAGCGAGCAGACUGGCCGGCGAUCAGUCGGUUCCUCCGGAGCAGAGACGAGGAGAGCGAGCGCUCCUCUGUAGUCUCAACAACGCCUCCGAACUCACAGGGCCGCGAGGAAACUCCGCGUCAGCGUUUCAUCUCACCCCCCCCCCCCCCUCUCCCAGAUUAUUCCCUCACACACACACACGCGCCCGUAAACAAGCAGAACGAAAAAACAUCCAUCAGGAGACCAGAAACAAAGUGCUGAAAGAGCGGAUCGGUCAUUUCAGAGGUCGCACCAGCUGAUUUGCGAUCAGAAUAAUACGCUCUGGACCGAAGCCUCGCCCGGUCGCUCUGCGGCCGCCGCGCCGUGGAUUCGGGUGUUUUUGCAGCUACCAGGUGUGAACGUGUGUAAGUUGUGUAAACGUGAAGCAGAGUGUCGCUGAAAGGGCCGCGUGUGCUCUGUCAGCGUUUGCUGGGGAAAUUAAGGUUCCAAAACGCUCUUAAUUUGGUGAACAGAAAUGAGCCAUGAAAUUUGCUUUUGUGAAGAAUACGGAGACUUGACUUCAUGUUUGUCAGUGAUGAGACCCCUCGUGGGCUCCACACCGUCUAAAUGUUCAAUUUGGGUUUAUUUAGUUGUGAUCCGGACGGAUCGGGUAGCUGCAGCCAGUUAAAGGCCUGAGGGCGGAGCGGGCGGAUUCCCUUGCUGCCGACACGUGAAACCAUGGAAACUUUAAUAAUUAAAGAUGGUGAGAGCGGAAGUGUCACUGUGUCACAGUGUCCUCUUUAAACGGACUUCGUACGUGGAGUCCAGAGGAGAUGUGGAACCCGUCUGAGCUGCAUCACGUAAAAGCUGAUGGUUACUGACGUGUUUUAUGUGCAAUAUGUUAAAAUAAACCAAUUUGACUAGAAUAUUACAAAAAAACAUUAUUUUUGUGUUCUAGACUUAAUUCAAAGCGGGUGAAAUGUAUUGUCCUGGUGUGACUUUACUCACAUAUAUUGAUCACCUCUUUUAAUUAAAUGUAUUAAAUGCUCAAAACUCCACGGUUUCAAAGGGACUCGCUUUCCGGUGCCAGACACUAUUUCGGACUCUCGUCCCGCUCUCCACUGAUACUGUUUAUUUUUCUGGCAGCGGAGGCACCGGGUGUGAGUGCGAGACAGUGAACAAAGUGUAUAAGUAGAUUUGGUGUGGGACUCGGUAUAUUUGGACGUCCCUGCUUGUGUACAGUAGAGGCCCCGGGGCUCAUUGCGGCGUGUGUUUGUUUGCACCUGUCUGUCUCUGUAGAUACAACCGGGACAGAUGCAGCCUACAGGGAGCUGCUUUUAUCAAAGCGGUGAAAAUGUGACUUUACGCGCAAAACACACAAGAGCACUGUGCACACGUCAGAAUCGUUGAAUCCCAAGUGACAAAUGGAGCACUGCUGGACUGAAAUUAAAAAAGAAUAGUCAGUUUGAGAAGGGCGGUGGAUGUGUGUCGCUCUCGCGUCAUGUACUUAUCACUGACCAGAUCCUGCACAGUCCGUUUUACAUCUCUCGGCAGUUUGUGGCUUCCAACUUGAGCUAUCUAUUGAAACCAUGUGCCCCGUAUUAAACACUUCCCCUCCACUUUAAAUAAAUCCGCCAUAGUUGACGUUUUAACUUCAUAGCAGCUGUAUUAGGCAGCGUCAUCCCUCUCAAGCUACAGCUUAGAUAUUCUUUUAUUUCUUUAUUGGGGCUCCCGUUUGGCUACCCGGGCGUGCUGGAGGUGAAACAGCGAGUUCCCGGUGAUGCCAGUUUGCUGCAGAAGGAGUGGAAAAUUCCAUGUUUCCCUCUUUUUUUUUUCCUCUUUCCUGCAUUCACCCAACUUUAAUCUGGCAUCAAAUUCGAGAUUUGCUUUGCUUAAGUUGACUCGAAAAG